This 972-nucleotide small RNA is filed under the name Arabidopsis thaliana (thale cress). RNAcentral describes it as "ATSL205430". The record is from RNAcentral. Lineage: Eukaryota; Viridiplantae; Streptophyta; Magnoliopsida; Brassicales; Brassicaceae.
GGUAGGACAAAGCCAUACAAAGGCCAACACAUAUUGUGAAAGAGCUGAAGGAUCAAAUCAAGGAGCUCAAUAGAAAACUCAACCAAGUACCACUCAACAUCAAGGACGCCCCUGACAAUGGAGCCACUAUUCUGGUCAGCAAAGAAGGAUGUGAAUUCACAUCGGAAUGGUAUAGAGGAGAAGACUAUCUUAAUAAAAAAAGAAGCUUACUAUGAGGACAUGGCCACUGAGUACCCAAUUGCAGACUUGUCAAGAAAUCCUAAUGAGUAUGAUGAUCACUCUACUCAAGAAGGAGAGGAGACCUCAUUUCCUCUCUCCAAUCCACCUUGAGCCUAAUGAGUAUGAGAAGUCAAGCUUAGAGACAUAAAAGAGGCUCACUUGGGAGGGAAUCCCAUGUCUAUCUUUGUACAUAUCUUUAUUUUUCCUUAUUGUUUUUGAUGCAUUUGGUUAGUGUCUUCAGGAGAAAAGUAUAAAGAGCUGAGUGAAGUGGAUUCUGGCUCUGAGAGUACAGAAGUAUACUCGACCACAGAGCAAUGAAAAAUACUCGACCAUGUUUUAGCUUAUCCACGCUAGGAGAUCACUCGAUCACGGUGUUGGCCGCAACAGAAGAAGGGAGAUCGAGUAUACUCAUGGCGGUACUGGCCGCCAUAGAGGCAAUGAGGUCGAGUACCGACAUGCUAGAGCUGAGACAGAACUGGGCGACUCUUCACUAGCCUGGGAGCAAUCACAUGUAGCCAUUGAUGACCAACUCCGUUCAUUCUUCGACUGAGGUAAGCGCCUCACUUCAACAUUGUACUAUAUCAUCUCUUGCUUAUAUUUUGUUUCUGUUAUGUGUUUUGUCCUAAGUACUCUCUUCCAAAUUUUGCCACACAGAGGACUAUGUGAUUUAAGUUUGGGGGAGGUCUCAGGAAGUGUGUGUUGCAUUGUAUAUACUCUUGAGUUGAGUCUGCAUUCAUCUAUAAAAAAACAAAA